Molecule: ribosomal RNA, 373 nt
Filed under: uncultured eukaryote
Lineage: Eukaryota
Description: partial 18S ribosomal RNA
Rfam family: Eukaryotic small subunit ribosomal RNA
Source: RNAcentral
UAAUAGCGUAUAUUAAAGUUGUUGCAGUUAAAAAGCUCGUAGUUGAAUUUUUGCUUGCCGCCGAUGUCGGAACUUCCGUACGUUCGGCGGCGUGCAUCCUUGGGUGGAACCUGUGUGGCAUUAGGUUGUCGUGCAGGGGAUGCUCAUCGUUUACUGUGAAAAAAUUAGAGUGUUCAAAGCAGGCUUACGCCGUUGAAUAUAUUAGCAUGGAAUAAUAAGAUAGGACCUUGGUACUAUUUUGUUGGUUUGCGCACCGAGGUAAUGAUUAACAGGGACAGUUGGGGGUAUUCGUAUUCCAUUGUCAGAGGUGAAAUUCUUGGAUUUCUGGAAGACGAACUACUGCGAAAGCAUUUACCAAGGAUGUUUUCAUUAA